RNAcentral lists this ribosomal RNA (404 nucleotides) under uncultured bacterium. Its description in RNAcentral is "bacterial SSU rRNA". It matches the Rfam family "Bacterial small subunit ribosomal RNA", at positions 355 to 776 of the family's 1533-position model. The record is from RNAcentral.
UGGGGAAUAUUGGACAAUGGGCGAAAGCCUGAUCCAGCAAUGCCGCGUGAGUGAUGAAGGCCUUAGGGUUGUAAAGCUCUUUCACCCACGACGAUGAUGACGGUAGUGGGAGAAGAAGCCCCGGCUAACUUCGUGCCAGCAGCCGCGGUAAUACGAAGGGGGCUAGCGUUGUUCGGAUUUACUGGGCGUAAAGGGCGCGUAGGCGGCCCGUUUAGUCAGGUGUGAAAGCCCUGGGCUCAACCCGGGAAAUGCACUUGAUACUGACGGGCUUGAGGAUGGGAGAGGAUGGUGGAAUUCCCAGUGUAGAGGUGAAAUUCGUAGAUAUUGGGAAGAACACCGGUGGCGAAGGCGGCCAUCUGGACCAUUUCUGACGCUGAGGCGCGAAAGCGUGGGGAGCAAACAGG